Molecule: ribosomal RNA, 254 nt
Filed under: uncultured bacterium
Lineage: Bacteria
Description: partial 16S ribosomal RNA
Rfam family: Bacterial small subunit ribosomal RNA
Source: RNAcentral
UACGGGGGGAGCAAGCGUUGUUCGGAUUUACUGGGCGUAAAGGGCGCGUAGGCGGCCAGCACAAGUCAGUUGUGAAAUCUCCGAGCUUAACUCGGAAAGGUCAACUGAUACUGUGCGGCUAGAGUGCGGAAGGGGCAACUGGAAUUCUUGGUGUAGCGGUGAAAUGCGUAGAUAUCAGGAGGAACACCCGUGGCGAAGGCGGCUACCUGGUCCGUAUCUGACGCUGAGGCGCGAAAGCUAGGGGAGCGAACGGG